This 12254-nucleotide long non-coding RNA is filed under the name Capsicum annuum. RNAcentral's name for it is "long non-coding RNA (CANN_LNC018148)". The record is from RNAcentral. Lineage: Eukaryota; Viridiplantae; Streptophyta; Magnoliopsida; Solanales; Solanaceae.
UAUAGUGUUCUAUUGGCUUAUGAAUGCUUCAUCAGCACAUGCCCAUGCUGUAUGGGUUAAUCUUAAAGAAAGGUUUGACAAGAUAGAUAGAUGAUUGUAACUGUGAGAAAUCAAGUACCUAAAAAAUCUCAGUUUUAGCAUUUCGCUCAUAUGGCUUUAAAAAACCCAAACCAUCGAUUUAGGGGAGCGGCCAAGAAGUUUCGCCCAAAAACGCACUCCGGCUGCUGUACCAUUCAUCGAUUCAUAAACCAGCACACACAAAAAUAUUACAAAAUAUUCUCAACUUUUCAUAUUUUUCUCAUGUCUUAAAUAAAAUUUUGUCUGCCCCUCCAAAAUAACACAGCCGUUAAGGGAGCUCAACAAGUAUCACCCAAAACACCAUUGAUCCAUAGGCGAACACACACACAAAAUCGCAAAAUAUCCUUAGGAUUUUUUUUGGCAAAACUUAUUGUGAACUCCCCUAACACCCUAUUAAAUGGAUUGUGUUGAUUUUGGGGAUGGAUGAAGGUCUUUCUAAAGCCAUAUGAGUGAAAUACUUAAAACUUAAGAUUUUUGAGAUUUUCUGUGUCUGUUAACCUAUGGAUCAAUAGGGGAUUCGAUCGUCGGAGUGAGUUUUGAGCAAAAUUUCUUGGUACGCACCUUACAACUUAAUAGAUCCUGUUGGUUUGGCAGGGAGGGGGGGUUGGAGUUUUUUUAAACAUAUAUGAGCGAAAUACUUAAAAAAUUAGGAUUUUUUUUGAAUAUCCGUGUCUGUUAACCUAUGGAUCAAUAGGGGGUUCGAUCGUCGGAGUGCGUUUUGAGCAAAAUUUCUUGGGCGCUCACCUAACAACUAAUUAAAUGUAAUGGUUUUUUUUUGGGGGAGGAGGGGGAGGUUUUUUUUUAGCCAUAUGAGCAAAAUACUAAAAACUAAGGAUUUUUGGGAAUUUUUUAUUUGUGUUAAUUAGCAUACGGAUUGUGUUGGUUUGGGGGGUUGGCGGAGAUUUUUUAAGCCAUAUGAGCGAAAUUUGAAAAACUAAACAUUUUUUGUGAUUUUUCGUAUGUGGUAGCCUAUAGGGGAUCCUAUCGUCGGAAUGGGCAUUUUGAGCAAAUUUCUUGGGCGCACCCUUUAUAACUUAUUAAUAGAUUGUGUUGGUUUAGGGGGUUGCUGAGGUUUUGUAAGCCAUAUGAACGAAGUACUAAAAACUGUGGAUUUUUUUGCGAUUUUUCAUGUGUUAGCCUAUGGAUUGAUGGGGUGUACAGUUGUUGGAGUGUGUUUUAGGUGAUACAUCUUGGGCGCUCCACGGAUGACCUAUUAAAUGGAUCAUGUUGGUAUGGGGGUAGGGGAGUGGCAGAACGAGGUUUUUUAAUCCAUAUAAGUGAUACACGAAACACUGAAUAUUCUUUUGCGAUUUAUUGUAUGUGUUAACCUAUGGAUCGAUGGGGUUUGCAAUCGCCGAAGUGAAUUUUGGGCAAAACUUCUUUGGCACACUCCUGGCGACCUAUUACAUCGAUCGUGUUGGUUAGGGGGUAACCCGAGGUUUUUUUAAGCCAUAUGAAUGAAAUAGGUAAAAUUGAAAAUUCUCAUUUGUUGGAUUGAUAAUAGAUCUGUCUGUAUAUAGGUCGGAUCGAUAAUCAAUAUUUCGAAUUCAAAAUCAAUCCGUCCAUGUCACACCCCUUUUUUCAUUCUCCAAAAAAAAGAUUCGUUUUAAAGUUCGAAAGGGUUUUAUUAUUUAAGUGACAAGAAAUGAAAAUUUAUUUCGGAAAAAAGAUUAUUUACAUUUUUAUUUAGAGUCGCCACUUGGCAUAAUCUGGUGUGCCGAGUCACCAUUGGAAAAUCCUUUUCAAAACCAUUUGACUCUUUAAAAUGGUUUGCGAGCAGAGAUUCCGGCUAAGGAAUUCUGUUGACCGAGGGGAAGGUGUUAGGCACCCCUCGAUCCCGUGGUUCAACCACGGUCGCUUGGUAGAGUGUAUCGAUAAUUUUUUGACACUAAGAAAUGUAUAAACCACACAAAAGUACGCAAAAUAAUCAAACAAUAAACAAAACAAAACAAUCCAAAAUGUAAAGUCCAGUCCAANNNNNNNNNNNNNNNNNNNNNNNAAGCUCCAAUGCCUUACCCGAUGCCGCGGGCCUUCAUCACGAUCAUUUUCCGCCAACAUGAUACGUCGGGGCAUUCCCCGGUGAAUAAGUACAGAAGACCUCGGGGCAUUCCCCGGCUAAAUGAAUACAUUUGAAUCGAAUACGAUAAAGUAGAAAACAUUCAACACAUACUCCUCAUUCAAACAUCCAAUGAAACACUUAUUUCUAAAUUUUUGCCUACCCGAACCUACCUUUGCCUAUCUAUUUCAACAAAAUUCAUGCUUAUUCCAAAUUAAACCGCUAAUAAUGAAUUAAAACAAAUACGUAUUCACUUUUAUCAAUUUUAAUUCCGCCCCAAACAAUCAAUUUUAAUUCUCCAAACGAGAUGUCAUCUCAUCACAUAAUCCAUAAUCAAUCCACAAUCAAGGGAAUCAAAUACCAAACCAGAACAACAACAAUUCACACCAUCAUGAAUCAACCAACACAUAAUAUUAGAAUCAAUGCAUCGGAUACCAUCAACAAUAAAACAAAAGAGUUAAAGAGUAGAAUUAGACCUCGAUGACGGCUUUAUUCCCAAUAUCAGUCAAUCAAAAGACGGAAUCCACACACCAAAGAACAUCAAUUCGAAACUCGACUACGAACUUUCCAACUCGAUCAAAACCCCCUUCGAAAGAUUGACUCCAUUAACAAUAAUAUUUAGAAAAAUCAAGACUUUAAGACUUCGAAUAGACCCUCAACAGUGACGAACCAAACUCGGUAUCAAGAAAUUUGAAACCCAAAGAUAGAGAACGACAAACCGAUCGGGACAGAAGCUAAAUCCCCAAAAUCAGUACGAAAACAGAUGAACCCAGACAAAAAUCGCGCCAAACAACCAAACCUGAGCUAGAAAUGCGUCAGCAUCCUCUUUAUAGAAACACAACAAUCCAAUUGAUUUAGCACUAUUAGGAUCUGAAAUGAGCACAAAUUCAUUAUUCGAAUUGCUAACAGUGUACACAGAAGUUCCAGUCAGUGUCUUCGCCACAUACUCCGAGCUCAAUCCACUGUUUCUCACUGCCUUCUCUUGACGCUGCGACACCAAAACAAACGGAAAAGAAUGCGCCAUCGACUGGGAUGGAAAACUCUGCCGUAUCGCCGCCGUCAACGGCUGAUGAAUGAAGUCGCCGGUGAGUUUUGAAGUCAGUCGUUUAGCUUCGCCAAAAUGAUUGGUGAGCUCGGCACCGAGAUGGGAGCAGUGUUGAUGGAGAAAAGUGUCCAGAGAGAGAAGAGGAGUAGUAUAUAUAUGCUGUGAGGUGAGGGUGGGGUAGUGAGGUAGGGUUAGGGUAGUAGUGAGGUGGGGGUGGUGUAUGGUGUGAUGUGGUUUAUUUUGAUUGGAUGGGUUGUUAGGAUAAGAUGUAGGGGUUAGGAUAUGAUAGAAUUUGUUAGGGAGUUUGUUAUUUUUUUUGUAUUUUGUGAGGGUAUAAUAACAUGAAUGAGGGUACACGGUAGGAUAAAAUAAAAAUGGGUAAAAGUGAAUAAAAAUUGAACUUUAAGAGGACGAAAUCACGUGUCUACAUCAUGCCCCCUUUGGAUGUAAACACAUAGUGUUUUCAUACAAAGCAGUAGACAAAGAGGCGGAAUUUUGUCAUGACCUUUAUUUAAAAGCACGGAGCAAGAGGAAGGAGGAAAACCAGGUCUUGACUUAGGACAUCCUACCCACCCAAGUUAUGAGGGGAUCAAGUGGCAAGUAUCUCAAAGGAUUGGAAGGAGAUGGACUAUAUCGAGUUGGAUAGUCGAGUGAGGUUCCAUCGAGGUUCUGGUCCGCGGCUCUGUCAUUACAUCAAAAAAAAUGAAAAUUACAAGUUAAAACAUAAAUGAAAUUACAAAAUCUUAUUUAAACAACUUCUGUUGGCUCAUGACUCGACUUUCAUCACCCUAUUCUUUAGGUGGGAUCCUGACUUGCAAUUUCUUUCAACUUGUUACUUGUCUUUCAAUUGCUUCGCUUUGUUGCUUGACUUUUCGUUUCUUCACCCUAUUCUCCAGGCGGGCUCCUGACUUGCUAUUCCAUCACUUUGUUGCUUGACAUUUGAUUUCUGCACUCUGUUCUCCAGGCGGGCUCCUGACUUGCUAUUUCAUCACCCUGUUCUUCAGGCAGGCUCCUGAAACCCAAAAUUAAAAACUAGAACAAAAUUAUCCCAAACAAAAAUUAUAGUAAAGUGGUAUUUCAUUUUUGAAAACAUUGUCCCAUUUUCUAGGAGGGUCCUGAGCAGAAAGUAAAAUUCCAUUUUUCAGGAGGGUCCUAAACAUAAAGUAAAAUUUCAUUUUUCAGGAUGGUCCUGAACACAAAGUAAAAUCCCAUUUUUUAAGAAGGUCCUGAACAGAAAGUAAAAUCCCAUUUUUCAGGAGGGUCCUGAACAGAAAGUAAAAAUCCCAUUUUUCAGUAGGGUCCUGAACAAAAGUAAAAUCCUAUUUUUUAGGAGAAUUCUGAACAUAAGGUAACAUCCCAUUUUUCAGGAGGGUUUUGAACAGCAAGUAAAAUCCCAUUUUUCAGGAGGGUCCUGAACAAAAGUAAAAUCCCAUUUUUCAGGAGGGUCCUGAACAUAAAGUAAAAUCCCAUUUUUCUGGAGGGUCCUGAACAGAAAGUAAAAUCCUAUUUUUCAGGAGGGUCCUGAACAUAAGGUAAAAUCCCAUUUUUCAGGAGGGUCCUGAACAGAAAUUAAAAUUCCCAUUUUCAGGAGGGUCCUGAAUAGAAAGUAAAAUUCCAUUUUUCAGGAGGGUCCUGAACAAAAAGUAAAAUUCUCAUUUUUCAGGAGGGUCUUGAACAGAAAGUAAAAUCUCACGGAUGUGCAUUUCCAAUGGUAGCUAAAUUAAGUGAAGCGAAUUUGCCCCUAUUUCAACAAAGAAAAUUUGUCAGUUAAAAACUUAGUGGUGGCUUGCAGAUCUUGGCUUCUCAGGUAUCUGCCCAGCACUCGUUCCUUUCAUCUUUGUUCUAAAUCACUAACACUUUCCCUUUCUUGCUGCAUCAUUGACCCGGAUCCAGAUUAAGGGAAAUGAGUUCAGACUCGAACAAUGGGUUUCCAUUUUACCAUGCCCCUGAGGUGCACUAUUUUCCCAAAUCUGAAUGCUUUCACGAAUCUAAUAGUCUGUCAGUUGAUAGACUUCCUUUGAUUCAUGUUGAAUUACAAUCAUAUUUUUUUCAUGUGCUAGUCCUUGGCUUUUUCUCAUAUAAUUGGAAAGACUGGUAGUAAAUUUUGAAAUCCUUUCUCGCUUGUUUUGACACAGACUUGACUUAAAAUGUAAAGANNNNNNNNNNNNNNNNNNNNNNNNNNNNNNNNNNNNNNNNNNNNNNNNNNNNNNNNNNNNNNNAAAGAAAAGGGCAAUGUCCCAUAUUCAAAAAGAAAACUUAUCUGAAUACGACAACCAACUCCAAUGAGUAUGACAUGCAUUUUGGAUUAAGCUGCCUUAUCUUCCUAUCCAAACUCUCCAUUUGUUGUUGAGUUCGUGCCUUUGAUGCUGAGCCGCUUCUUCAAAUCCAUUUGACUCAUACAUCACAUCCAAUUGACGACAUCUUAAAAGACUUUCGCCAACAAAUCUUUUUUUUUUCACUUUUCACUUUUCUCUUGAACUCGUCAUCGCCUUACGGUGCCCGUGAGGAUUUUCACCAAUAAGACUCUCUCAUUUUUAUUUCUCUCCACUCACCAUCACCUUAUGGUGCCUGCGAGGGUUUUCACCAAUAAGACUCUCUCAUUUUCAUUUCUCUCAACUCACCAUCGCCUUAUGAUGCCCACGGGGGUUUUCACCAAUAAGACUCUUAUUUUUGUAUUUCUUUCCUGAUUUCUUAUGUUGAGGGAGACAAGUGGUACCUCACAAUGUAUCAUCAUAUCCAUUGCAUGAUUAGCCUUAACAUUACCAAAAAUUGAUCUGAAGGACUUUCUUUGAUUGUAACUUGGCUUUUGGAUAAGGUUAGAAAAGGAUGGUCCCUUUAAUAUUAUUUUAUCCAAAUAUUUUUUAAUUUUAUAAUAUUAAAUAUAUCACAUAGAAAGUUGAAAUGUCAAAAAUCACAAGGUUUGUCUCAUGAAAAUUAGGCUGAAAGGGGUUGACAAGUUGUUAUUUUGGUGUAUGAAUACAGAAAUUGCUUAUUAAAUAAAUAAACCCUCUGAAUGGUAAAGGGACAGACUUUUUUCAUGCAUGCAGUCUUUUAGGUUUCUAUAUUUAUGUUAUUAAUAAUAGGGACAAGGUUAUUCUAUCGGUAGUAAAAGUGAAUUAGCACUUCAAAAACAGAUUUUCGACCACUUUCCUAGCGCAAUAAUAUACUCUUUUUUCCGUCUCAAAUUAUGUGGCAUAAUUUUUAAAAAUAUUUAUCUUAAAUUAUUUAUCAAUUUGUAUUAUUAAAAAAGAGCAGUUCAUAUGCAACUUUAGUUUAUAUUUCUACCAUUAAAGUGCCCAUUAUAUACAAGGUCUGGAGAAGGGACUCACCACUAAAGUGCCUGUUAUGUACUGGGUCAUACUUUUGACAUUAAAGUGCCCUUUAUAUACAAGGUCUGGAGAAGGGACCCAUCACUAAACUGCCCGUUAUGUACAGGGUCAUAUUUCUACCAAUAAAGUGCCCGUUAUAUACAAGGUCUGGAGAAAGGUCCCACCACUAAAGUGCCUGUUAUGCACAGGGUUCCGAAAAGGGUCCGACACAAGGAUGUAUUGCAUGCAGCCUUAACUUAUAUUUCUGCCACAUAUUUAUGUCAGAGUCAGUUUUCAAGGCUUGAAACCGUGACCUCCCUAUCACAUGACAAUAACUUUCCAAGACUUGAAACCGUGACCUCCUUAUCACAUGACAAUAACUUUACUAGUUACUCCAAGGCUCCCCUUUGUCAAUUUAGAUUAUUAAGAUACAUAAUUAUCCUUUUUCUAUUUUAUUCUUAAUAGUAAUUUUUUUGAAGACUAUAUAUAAAUACUUUAUUAUAAUAAGAUGAAGACAUAUAAAAGGUUUCAUUAAUAGAGAGAAAUUGUUCUUUAAGACAUAAAUAAGUAAGCACUUUUAAGACAUAAUUAAUACAUAUCCAUAUGAGAUUAAGAAAAAAAAAAGAGGUUAUUUCCGAGAGAUUCUCAACAAUCCACUUCUUUUAUCCGAACUUGGAAUCGACAAGUUUAUAGAACACAAGAUUAAAUAAUAUUUUUGAAUAUUUGACAUAACAUUAAUUUAAAAUCACAAGAUUUAAAAAGUCUUUUUUUCUUUCUUUUUAUCAGAGCUACAGAGCAGACAGAGGUCAGUCGGUACACAGUAGUAGUAGUGCUCCUCCUCUGUGGAGCAUCCACAGGUAGUACAAAUCAGUGAAAGUGGUGUUGGGUUCGAAAUCGAGAGGGCGUCAUGCGGAAGAUAUUAGUUACAAACUAUCGUGGUGAUAAUUCAGACGACAAAGAAAACAAUACUAAAAACAUAAUAUUAUUAUAUGAUUUGGCCAAUUGACCUACAUAUAAAACCUAAUAUUAAAAAUAAUACUAAAAAGCAUAAAACUAAUGAGAGAGAAAAUCUUCCUCUAAACAAAACUCUUAAAAGACUAUAUUGUGGGAAGUUCAAACACUAUGAAAAUAAUAAACAAUGGUUAAUUAGUUGGGCAUUUAGAAGUUUUGGGUACUCCAAAUCCCUCUUUUCUUUCUUUUCUCGCGUAGUGUAGGUAACUAAACAAAAAUUUAUGUUUUUAUUUGUAGAUAAUAUUACUGAGUGAUUUCUUUUCUCGUGUAGAUAGCUUAACAAAAGUUUAUGUUUUUAUUGUUAGAUAUUACUGUGAGUGAAGAAGGUGCGGUAGCACAUUUUUGGGAUUUCGUACUACGCGGAUUGGUACUCUUUUCAUUUGUUGGAAAUCGAUUUCAAUUUAUCUUUGUGAAAUUUUGACUUAUUUUAAUUAUUUUAUUGUUAGAUCACUAUUUCUUCGGAGGUAAUGAUAUGGAUUAUGUACAUUUUAUCCUCCCCAAAUUCCACUAUGUGAGAAUACAUUGUGUGUAUUGUUGCUGUUGUUUCAUAUCGCGCCUGUGUAUACAUUGGGCAUUUAGAAGUUUUGGGUUCGAAAUUAAGAGGGCAUCAUGCAGAUGCAAAUCCCUUUCGAAUGAAAUUUAGCAACAAUACGCAGUAUAUAUUGUUAGAUCACUACUUCUUCGGAGGUAGCGAUAUGAACUGUGUACAUUUACUUUAAGAAAAGUAAAACAUAAGUAGUGACGGAUCCAGAAUUUAGGGCUUGUGGGUUAUCGUGAGGUUCGGACACAAAUAUUGAUCUUCAAAGCUUUAAGGUUCCGCUUGAAAACCAAAACACUCAGCUAUCUUUUUUAUUUUCUUGGUGCUUUUUGAAGCUUAUACUAAUUUUUAUAUUUUUUUUUUAUAAUUAUACCUAACAAAUUUAACGGGUAUCGAAGUACCAAAAAUACAUAUAGUUCCACCCCUGCUUAUGAGAGAGUAGACAAAAACUUUAUAUACUUAAGUAGCCAUUGUCCAUGAAACGCCCCACAAAAAUCACUUCAUUUGAAAUUUUAAAGUUGAAGUUGGAGCUGAAAUUGUGUUUAGACAUAGUUUUUACAGUUAAUAUUAAGAAUUUAAAUGUAUUUUUGACCAAAAAAAAUUUGAAUAUGGAAUGAAAUUUAAAUAGCAUUAUUUUAUGAAAAUAAAAAAGUUAGGAAUUUUAUGAGGAAAAAAAAAUUAAAAAGUGAAAAAUUUUAAAACAAGGUUUUGGUUAUUUUGAAUUUGAAAUUUUCAUGAUCAAACACUAUUCUUCAAAGAAAGUGAAAUAAAUUUUUGAAAAUAAGUGAAAAAUAUUAAUGGCCAAAAAUAUCUAAUGAAAUUUAUCAUUCUCGACCAUCUUGAGAAAUUGGAGUUGUGAGUGUUAUAGCUUGUAGGGCUUUUAUCUUGCCCUCUUUCUUCAGAAUGUCGAGGUCCAGAGGGACCUGCUCUAUCCACAGAAGAUUUCUCCCUCCUAUAGAAAUUCCCCCUUUUCUUCUAUUAAUUUGCUAUAGUAAAAAGCCACUUCCUAUAGAAUUACACCACUUCAGUUCGGUGUGCAUUUUUGGGCUAAAUCGGUGUGCUAUAUAGCUCACGGUUUCGGGGAUUGGCCCGGGGUUCGGGUGUGCUGUGGGUCAAAAAUUGACCGGGGAGUGCCAGAGAGGUUGAGGAUUGCCCCAGUGUGGUCCGUUUAAAUUUUCGUGGCCAUUUGGGUGGACAAACGGGCGAAACGGCGGGAAAGGGACAUUUUUAUAGCCAAAUCGGUGUGUUAUAUCCCAUGAUUUCAGGGUAGACAUGGGGUCCGAGCGUGCUGUAGGCCGAAAAUUGAUCGGGGUGUGCCAGGAAGGUUGAGGAUGAUCCCAGUGUGAUCAAUUUAUGCUUAAGAGUGACUGAUGGCGCUAAGUAACUCUUGAUAUAUUAUUGUAAUAGAAGUUACAGAGUAGCAACUAAGCAAGCAUUAGAGCAGAUUUAAAGGAUACUACAAUUAACGGUGAUUAUCUAAGCAUUUAUCUCGAACUCCAAUAACGCUGAACACCAAUCAAGAACUCAAUGAUCUCAUUUCAUUGCCACCAACUUCUUCUUUCUUCCUGCAAAAAUCUGAGCUCUCUUACUCAAAUCCAUGCUUGUAUAAUCACUUCAACAUUCCCAUCACAACCCAUCUCAUAAAUCUUUACUCUUCCUUCAAAAGACCCAAUUUUUCUCGCACCCUUUUUGAUUUAACACCAAACCCACCUCUAAUUCUAUUGAAUUCAAUGAUCAGAGCUUAUAUAAGAGCAAAUCAGCAUCAAGAUUCCUUGAAGGUUACGGGUUCAAGCCUUGGAAUCCAACAGCUUCUGGCAGAAAUACAAGGUACCCGUGUGGUGGAGCCCUUUUCCGGACACCGCGCAUAGUGGUAGCUUUAAUUGCACCAGAUUGCCCUUUUAUGUUCUAUUAAUUUGCUAUAGUAAAAAGUCACUUCCUACAGAAUUACACCUCUUCGUGAGAACAAGUUAUGGAUACAACAUAUGCAAAGGACCCAACCAUAUAACAUACCACUAUAUGGAUACAACAUAUAACAUACCCACAAGUGGGGUUUGGGGAGGGUAGAGUGUACCUAGACCGUGGACACUAAGCCUCGAGUACAUCAAAUCAUAGUAGUAGGUAUGGAAAAAGGGAAAAUAUAGCAACAAAUAAUUAAGUGGAAAGUAACCACCACAAAAUAGUGUGACAACCUAAACGCAUUAAACAACAACAGAUGAAAGUAACAAAUAAUAGAGUUAGCCAGUUGAAUAAGAUUAUAUACCUAAUGGGGAGGGAGACCAGCUAUUGAAACAUGAAAUGCCAUAUGUUUUCAUCUUUACCAUAAUAACUACGUUGAAAUGGCGAGAUUUUUUAGAUACCCAUGAUGUCCAGGUCAUCUUGCACGCAUCUCGACUAAUUUCACGCCCUGCCACCUCCCACCGGCACAAACGUCUCGUCUCAAGAAUCAACCAAUGCAAUAUGCUUCAACUAAACGAGAUACAAAAUAAUAAAACAUCACAGUAAAAUUAUCUUAUACAGAAUAAUCGAUGAAUGGCACACUCUAAUUUUUUCUUAAACUUUUGGCGAAUUCCCUCUUUUCUUCUAUUAAUUUGCUAUAGUAAGAAUCCACUUCCUACAGAAUUACACCACUUCAGUUCAGGGCCUAAAGAUUGUAAAGUUGAAAUCUCAAAACAAUUGGAGGAGCAAAGUUGAGCGAUUAAACCUCACGUUUGGUAUGUUGUUUAAUGGAUGUUGUUGUUUUUUGGCAUCCAUAUGAUGCCUUCGAAAGAAAUAAAAAGAAGUUAAAGCUAGAAAACAAUAGUAAGCAUAUUAUAAACUCUUUUCUUUUAUGUUAAGUUAGGAUAUCCAUUAAUGUCUUCCUUCACUAUCUUUUCAUAAUACCCUUCUAGAGAUCCUUUAUCUAACAUAGUUUCAAAUGCCAUUGAUAAAGAAAGCCUACCAGCAGCUUAAUGAAAAAAAUUGUACAUCGAGUUAGCAAACUAAUGCGAUAAAGAUAUUUACUGAGAAAUUAGAACCUAUAUGGGAAAAGUUUUACUCAAAUUUACGUAUUUAGAGGAGUUUGUUCCGUAAGGAUCGUCGGCUGAACAAUCAACAUCAACAAACAGAACCAACAAAAAAUUUCUCACAGAGUUUCAUUAAACUCAAUACAUCUAAUAGUAAUCUCCCUAAGUCGUUUGUUCAGAGCUGUAAACCAUAUUGACGAGCGUAAACAUGAAUAUAAUUAUUUGAUGAAGAAUAAACAUAGAGAAAAGCAUUAGAUACCUCGCUUUCUUGUAGCUAUUGAGAAUACUUCUUCCAGCCAUCAUCGUCAAACACAAAUUGAUCAUCUGAAUCUGAAUCUUCCAUAUCAGGCGUCAUUGGUAAAGGAUCCAAUUUUUUGGAGUCGCUCGAAUCAUCAUCCCCUUUCCCCUCCUCCUCCUCAUCAUCAUUAAGCUUUUGCUUCUUCACCUCCGAUUCCAACUCCAAAUCCGAAUCCGAAUCACUCGAAACACUCGAAACAUACGAGCAUUCGGAUGAUUCGCUCGAGAAAUCAUCCAUCACGAUUCCGAUCUCAGCCGGUGUCGGUUGUGGAGGUAGUGGCAGUAGCCGCAGCGGCGGAGGUGACGGUUGCUCGGAAAACAUCACAACGAAUUGACAUACCAAAACCUAACAUAGAGAGCUGAGAGCUGAGAAUGGUGUAUGUAUGGAGAAAAAAACACUUUAAAUAGAGGUAACUUUUCUUUAAUAACUCUUAGCCCCCAAUACUUACAUUAUUUUUGUUUUUUCCUACAUCAAGUUUGACAAUGAACAAUUUUAAACUCAAAACUUAUUUAAUAGGAAAAUGCAGUCCCAUUUUUGUUAGGACUGGACUUUUUUCGUAUCGGAAUAAAAGAAGGGAUCUUUUGUUGAAUGGCAUUUUCAAAUCUUCUUUUAAUUAAUAGAUUACAAUUUUUUAUUUUUUAGGAAAACGACUUAUUUUUUAGACAGAUCUAUUAUCUAUCAAACUGAUAUAUACAUAGAUAUAUUACCGAUCCGACAAAUCGAUUAUCAAUCCGAUCUAUAUUGGACGGAUCGAUUAUCAAUUCGACAAAUUGAUUAUCGAUCCGACCUAUAUACAGACAGAUCUAUUAUCAAUCCGACAAAUGAGAAUUUUCAAUUUUACCUAUUUCAUUCAUAUGGCUUAAAAAAACCUCGGGUUACCCCCUAACCAACACGAUCGAUGUAAUAGGUCGUCAGGAG